UGUGAAUUGGCAGAAUUCAGUGAAUCAUCGAAUCUUUGAACGCACCUUGCGCCCCUUGGCAUUCCGAGGGGCACACCCGUUUGAGUGUCGUG
RNAcentral lists this ribosomal RNA (92 nucleotides) under uncultured fungus. RNAcentral describes it as "partial 5.8S ribosomal RNA". It matches the Rfam family "5.8S ribosomal RNA", at positions 66 to 154 of the family's 154-position model. From Rfam's summary of the family: 5.8S ribosomal RNA (5.8S rRNA) is a component of the large subunit of the eukaryotic ribosome. It is transcribed by RNA polymerase I as part of the 45S precursor that also contains 18S and 28S rRNA. Lineage: Eukaryota; Fungi. The record is from RNAcentral.